CUAAGACUGGGAUAACUCCGGGAAACCGGGGCUAAUACCGGAUGGUUGUUUGAACCGCAUGGUUCAGACAUAAAAGGUGGCUUCGGCUACCACUUACAGAUGGACCCGCGGCGCAUUAGCUAGUUGGUGAGGUAACGGCUCACCAAGGCGACGAUGCGUAGCCGACCUGAGAGGGUGAUCGGCCACACUGGGACUGAGACACGGCCCAGACUCCUACGGGAGGCAGCAGUAGGGAAUCUUCCGCAAUGGACGAAAGUCUGACGGAGCAACGCCGCGUGAGUGAUGAAGGUUUUCGGAUCGUAAAGCUCUGUUGUUAGGGAAGAACAAGUGCCGUUCAAAUAGGGCGGCACCUUGACGGUACCUAACCAGAAAGCCACGGCUAACUACGUGCCAGCAGCCGCGGUAAUACGUAGGUGGCAAGCGUUGUCCGGAAUUAUUGGGCGUAAAGGGCUCGCAGGCGGUUUCUUAAGUCUGAUGUGAAAGCCCCCGGCUCAACCGGGGAGGGUCAUUGGAAACUGGGGAACUUGAGUGCAGAAGAGGAGAGUGGAAUUCCACGUGUAGCGGUGAAAUGCGUAGAGAUGUGGAGGAACACCAGUGGCGAAGGCGACUCUCUGGUCUGUAACUGACGCUGAGGAGCGAAAGCGUGGGGAGCGAACAGGAUUAGAUACCCUGG
RNAcentral lists this ribosomal RNA (673 nucleotides) under Bacillus subtilis. RNAcentral's name for it is "bacterial SSU rRNA". It matches the Rfam family "Bacterial small subunit ribosomal RNA", at positions 132 to 790 of the family's 1533-position model. Lineage: Bacteria; Bacillati; Bacillota; Bacilli; Caryophanales; Bacillaceae. The record is from RNAcentral.